AGAUGCUCAUUGGGCGUAAAGCGUGCGCAGGCGGUUUUGUAAGACAGAGGUGAAAUCCCCGGGCUCAACCUGGGAACUGCCUUUGUGACUGCAAGGCUGGAGUGCGGCAGAGGGGGAUGGAAUUCCGCGUGUAGCAGUGAAAUGCGUAGAUAUGCGGAGGAACACCGAUGGCGAAGGCAAUCCCCUGGGCCUGCACUGACGCUCAUGCACGAAAGCGUGGGGAGCAAACA
RNAcentral lists this ribosomal RNA (230 nucleotides) under uncultured Alicycliphilus sp. Its description in RNAcentral is "partial 16S ribosomal RNA". It matches the Rfam family "Bacterial small subunit ribosomal RNA", at positions 551 to 774 of the family's 1533-position model. Lineage: Bacteria; Pseudomonadati; Pseudomonadota; Betaproteobacteria; Burkholderiales; Comamonadaceae. The record is from RNAcentral.